CGAAAAAACAACCGGCGAAGUGAUUCCCUGCUCGGAAAACUAAGCUUCUUUGCUCGGCCGGUUCGCGAACCCUGUUCUCCGUCAAUCCUCGCUGCGGCAAGUAACUUUCUCCCCUGUCCCUUUUUAUUUUCGUUUUCAAAAUUAGGGUUUGUUCAUUUUUCAUUUUUGCAGAGAAAGCCAAAGAAAUUGUUGGCUGACAAGAUUAGGAGAAAAUACAUACGUUUAUCUCGGGUGGGUUAUGAUUUCUUUUGUUUUAAAUGAUGAAAUUUUGCAAAUUCUUGAAUCUUGAUCUUCGUAUGUAAUUUAAACAGAGAUAUAUCAAUUAAUUUGAUUUUCUUGAUGAGAAAAAUAUUGUAAUAAUCCCUGAUUAAGGAAAUAUAAUUCUGUUCAUGCUAGAAAAAUUCACUCAAAGAUAAAUGUUGAACAUCCGACUACCGUAAAAGUGAUGUAAAAUCGAAUGUUUCUGGUGGUUUCAUCUUGGUUAGUACCUCAAAUCAUGUUUUAGGCUCUUUCAUUAGGCAAAUGUGAAAAACUACUCCCUCCAUUCUUGAAUGUCAGUCCUUUUUUGAAUCUAAAGCAAUCCAAUUUAAGUAAUUUCAUGUUUCAUGUUUUAGGCCUUUUCAUUAGCCAAAUGUGACAAACUAUAUAUUAUUCUGAUGAAAUUAAUAUGCUUAUUUUGAGGUGUUUUCUUACUUGGUUCAUUUGGUGGAGUCACAGAGACUUCCUCCACCCUUUUGAAGGGCGCAUAUACCAGUAAAAAACCGUACUGUUAUAGUACUCGAGACAGAUACUGGAGAACAAUACGAAGCCAAUUAUCUGCCUCAAUAUCGUGGACUCAGUGGUGGGUGGAAAAGGUUUGCCAUAGUUCUGAAAUUGGAAGGAGAUACUGUUGUUUUUCAACUAGUUGAACCUGCCAAAUUUAAGUCUACCUCUUCUAGAAUCAAAUCACUAAACUAGUUGAAGCUGAGGAUAAAAGCUGCUAAUGAAGCUGAGGCGGCUUGCCAACGGCGUCUCUCUGUUGCUGAGGCUGAAAUAGCUGAUUUAAGAUCCAAAUUGGAUACUACUGAAAGCAUGGAAGGCAAGCAUUCGUUUCUGUGCCUAGCACUUUUCCUGUGCCUGGAGAAGAACUGAUGUUUUGAUGAUUGUAAGAGGGGCAAGGAGAAGCUUGUUUGUGAUGCUGCUCAAGUACUGCUUUAUUUCGGAGUUGAACAAAUCAUCUAUGUUUCUGAAAUGACGCACUGCUAAAUAAAGGUCUAUACUCCGAGGACUGCGCCUUAUGCUAGUGAGGAAAUUGAUGUGGUUCGUGAGCAAUGGGCGAAGUUUUUUACCACCAAGUAUUUAUUAUUGACCUGAGGGCGCUUGAUCGUGUUGGUUUAGAUGUUAUAGAACAAUCUUUUAUGUUAAAAUGUAUGCGUACGUUGAAAUUGGAACGUAAAUAUAUUUAAAUGUAUCAGU
Molecule: long non-coding RNA, 1455 nt
Organism: Spinacia oleracea (spinach)
Lineage: Eukaryota; Viridiplantae; Streptophyta; Magnoliopsida; Caryophyllales; Amaranthaceae
Exons: 4
Source: RefSeq, a predicted model, not a curated record